GUGAUCUGAGUUCAGACCGGAGUAAUCCAGGUCAGUUUCUAUCUAUAAGGAGCUUUUUUUAGUACGAAAGGACCAAAAAAGCAUGGCCCCUGUUUUCAGCAAACCAUUUCUAUUAAUUUAUGUCUAAAACUUAACUCUUACAUAGUCCUUCCCCCUGUUCAAGAAAAGAACAGUUAACGUAGCAAAACCUGGUUAUGCAAAAGAUCUAAGCCCUUUUCAUAGAGAUUCAAAUCCUCUCGUUAACUUUGAACCCAUUUCUUCUCAUCCCCCCACUGUGUUACAUAGUACCAAUUCUAUUGGCAGUUGCAUUUCUCACACUAAUUGAGCGUAAGGUGUUAGGAUAUAUACAGCACCGGAAAGGCCCUAACAUUGUUGGCCCUACGGGCCUACUCCAGCCCAUUGCUGACGGGGUCAAAUUAUUUAUUAAAGAGCCUAUUCGACCAACAACCUCGUCUCAAAUUCUCUUUCUUUUAGCUCCAGUUCUUGCUUUCACCUUAGCGAUAAUUAUCUGAACCCCUCUCCCGAUACCAACCCCCCUUUUUGAAAUAAAUCUUGGAGUACUAUUCAUUCUUGCCCUAUCAAGUUUGACAGUUUAUUCAAUCCUAGGUUCCGGAUGAGCAUCAAAUUCCAAAUACGCCCUCAUCGGUGCCCUACGAGCAGUAGCUCAAACCAUUUCUUAUGAAGUCACACUCGCAUUAAUCCUACUUUGUGUAAUUUUAAUGUCAGGUAACUUCACAUUACAAAACUUUAGCCUCGCUCAAGAACCAAUAUGAUUUAUUGUCCCCAUUUGACCGCUAGCCAUAAUAUGAUUUAUCUCAACCCUCGCCGAAACCAAUCGAGCCCCAUUUGAUCUAACUGAAAGGGAGUCUGAACUGGUGUCAGGCUUUAAUGUAGAUUACGCAGCCGGACCUUUCGCCCUCUUUUUUUUUAGCG
This 933-nucleotide ribosomal RNA is filed under the name Eupsophus calcaratus (Chiloe Island ground frog). Its description in RNAcentral is "partial 16S ribosomal RNA". The stretch from base 173 to 245 matches the Rfam family "tRNA". Lineage: Eukaryota; Metazoa; Chordata; Amphibia; Anura; Alsodidae. The record is from RNAcentral.